RNAcentral lists this long non-coding RNA (540 nucleotides) under Cyanistes caeruleus (blue tit). Its description in RNAcentral is "lncRNA (ENSCCEG00000001602.1)". Lineage: Eukaryota; Metazoa; Chordata; Aves; Passeriformes; Paridae. The record is from RNAcentral.
AUGGAGCAGCGACCUCCAAGAAUUCCCAAGCUGGCCUGGGUGGAGGAGGAGGAGAAGGAGGAAGAAGAAGGCCCUGGAGCUGCCCCAGAUGUAGAGACGGAAGAGGUGCAGGAGUUCCAGCCGCUGGAGGAGGGAUGGGAGAGUGUUGGAGAUCUGGAGCAGCGACCCCCGAGAGUGCCCAAGCUGGCCUGGGUGGAGGAGGAGGACGAGGAAGAGGAAGAAGGCCCUGGAGCUGCCCCAGAAGUAGAGAUUGAAGAGGUGCAGGAGUUCCAGCCGCUGGAGGAGGAUUCAGCCAUGGACCAGACACAAGAGCAGGGCCUUGCCUGUGGCCUCUUCCAUGGAACAGCACAGGAAGAGACCAGCGUCAUGGGCACUGGGUCCAUGGAAGAUGGUGACGUCUACACCAGCGACACCAGUGCUGCCAUGCUGGAAUUCAUUUUGGAGGAGGGUGUUUCCAUUCCAGAGCAAGUAAGCAGCCUGUGGCCAGGGGUUGAUUCUCCAGGGAUCGCUUGGCCUCCCAAGCCACGCCUGCUGAUCACU